GACGAACGCUGGCGGCGUGCCUAAUACAUGCAAGUCGAACGCAUUUUCUUUCACCGUAGCUUGCUACACCGAAAGAAAAUGAGUGGCGAACGGGUGAGUAACACGUGGGUAACCUGCCCAUCAGCGGGGGAUAACACUUGGAAACAGGUGCUAAUACCGCAUAAUUCCAUUUACCGCAGGGUAGAUGGGUGAAAGGCGCUUUUGCGUCACUGAUGGAUGGACCUGCGGUGCAUUAGCUAGUUGGUGGGGUAACGGCCUACCAAGGCUGCGAUGCAUAGCCGACCUGGGAGGGUGAUCGGCCACACUGGGACUGAGACACGGCCCCGACUCCUACGGGAGGCAGCAGUAGGGAAUCUUCGGCAAUGGACGCAAGUCUGACCGAGCAACGCCGCGUGAGUGAAGAAGGUUUUCGGAUCGUAAAACUCUGUUGUUAGAGAAGAACAAGGAUGAGAGUGGAAAGUUCAUCCCUUGACGGUAUCUAACCAGAAAGCCACGGCUAACUACGUG
This 507-nucleotide ribosomal RNA is filed under the name uncultured bacterium. RNAcentral describes it as "partial 16S ribosomal RNA". It matches the Rfam family "Bacterial small subunit ribosomal RNA", at positions 28 to 507 of the family's 1533-position model. The record is from RNAcentral.